GACGAACGCUGGCGGCGUGCUUAACACAUGCAAGUCGAACGGAAAGGCCCUGCUUUUGUGCUGUGCUCGAGUGGCGAACGGGUGAGUAACACGUGAGUAACCUGCCCUUGACUUUGGGAUAACUUCAGGAAACUGGGGCUAAUACCGGAUAGGAGCCCCUGCUCCAUUGUGGGGGUUGGAAAGUUUCGGCGGUCGGGGAUGGACUCGCGGCUUAUCAGCUUGUUGGUUGGGUAGUGGAUUACCAAGGCAUUGACGGGUCGCCGGCCUGAGAGGGUGAACGGCGACAUGGCUACUGAGAUACGGCCCAGAGUGGUACGGGAGGCAACAGGGGGGAAUAUUACACAAUCAGACGGAGCCUGAUGCAACGGCGCCGCGUGCGGGAUGCCGGGCUUUGGGUAAAAAACAGCUUUCGCCUGAGACGAAGCGAGAGUGACGGUAAUGGGUAAAGAAGCACCGGCUAACUACGUG
Molecule: ribosomal RNA, 468 nt
Filed under: uncultured bacterium
Lineage: Bacteria
Description: partial 16S ribosomal RNA
Rfam family: Bacterial small subunit ribosomal RNA
Source: RNAcentral